UGGGAAUUUGGACAAUGGGCGAAGCUGAUCCAGCAAUGCCGCGUGUGUGAAGAAGGCCUUCGGGUUGUAAAGCACUUUUGUCCGGAAAGAAAUCCUUGGCUCUAAUACAGUCGGGGGAUGACGGUACCGGAAGAAUAAGCACCGGCUAACUACGUGCCAGCAGCCGCGGUAAUACGUAGGGUGCAAGCGUUAAUCGGAAUUACUGGGCGUAAAGCGUGCGCAGGCGGUUUGCUAAGACCGAUGUGAAAUCCCCGGGCUCAACCUGGGAACUGCAUUGGUGACUGGCAGGCUAGAGUAUGGCAGAGGGGGGUAGAAUUCCACGUGUAGCAGUGAAAUGCGUAGAGAUGUGGAGGAAUACCGAUGGCGAAGGCAGCCCCCUGGGCAAAUACUGACGCUCAUGCACGAAAGCGUGGGGAGCAAACAGGAUUAGAUACCCUGGUAGUCCACGCCCUAAACGAUGUCAACUAGUUGUUGGGGAUUCAUUUCCUUAGUAACGUAGCUAACGCGUGAAGUUGACCGCCUGGGGAGUACGGUCGCAA
RNAcentral lists this ribosomal RNA (539 nucleotides) under uncultured bacterium. Its description in RNAcentral is "partial 16S ribosomal RNA". It matches the Rfam family "Bacterial small subunit ribosomal RNA", at positions 357 to 891 of the family's 1533-position model. The record is from RNAcentral.